CCUUCUGGCUGAGUAGUUAGCAAAAGCAAGAGACAAGAAUCAGAUGUUCAAAAGCUUCCAGGGUCGUGUUUGCAGCGUCAGUUUUUAUCCGAGCGGGAGACUUCUCCAGAAGACCCUUCCCCACACCUUCUUCCCAGCUCCUGCUUUCCUCAGCCACUUUCCUGCCUGUCCUAUUCCAGAGUUCCUCCACAACAGAGCUGCGCCUUCCUGAGGCUCAACCAUGCUCCUGGCGCUCCUCCCAGUGCUGGGGAUACACUUUCUCCUGAGAGAAGCCCAAGCUCAGUCAGUGACUCAGCCUGAUGCUCUUGUCACUGUCUCUGAAGAAGCCUCUCUGCAGCUGAGAUGCAAGUAUUCUUCCUCUGUGCCACCUUACCUGUUCUGGUAUGUGCAGUACCCACGACAAGGGCUUCAGCUGCUCCUCAAGUACUAUUCAGGAGAAUCAGUGGUUCAAGGAGUGAAUGGCUUCAAGGCUGAGUUCAACAAGAGUGACUCUUCCUUCCACCUGCGGAAAGCCUCUGCGCACUGGCGCGACUCAGCUGUGUACUUCUGUGCUCUGAGCGCACAGUGUGUGGGGCUGCAGGUGAAGCGGAACACAAACACCCACUCAGCGGGUGCCCAGACUCACGAUGGCUCCUUGUGGUCUCGGAAGCAUCUCUUUGGACUUGGAGAGGAAAGAAGGAAAGUUGCGCGCUCCCAGCUGUCUUUCCACAACCCAUGUCCAGCUAAAAUGUCCACUAUAUCUAGUGCUCAUUCGUAGUUCUGUGGAAUGGAGGAGACUGUGUUGUUAUCCUGAGUGUUAUUUCCUGAGUGGACAUCACUUGGAUAGUGACGCGACUCAGGUGCUGAUGGGGAACACCAGAAGCUGGACUUCGAUUUUGUCACUUUAUGUAUCAUUUACACAGAAAGUGAACGGUGUGCACUCCAGCUUUUGUCCUGAAAUUUCCCUUCUCUUCUCAAUGUUUUAUGCUGAUUCCCUAUAAAUUCUUCUUUUGCUGCUGAAUGUAACUGAUCAGAAUUGGUCAUAAUAUUUAAGUAUUGCCAUUUUGGAAUUAACUGCCCUUGUUAGCCAAUAUAGGAUUUCAUCAGUACCACAAAAGUUUUG
Apodemus sylvaticus (European woodmouse) is the source of this 1102-nucleotide non-coding RNA. NCBI's taxonomy places the organism in Eukaryota, Metazoa, Chordata, Mammalia, Rodentia, Muridae. The record is from the annotation of a RefSeq genome assembly.